GCAAACUUGGUCAUUUAGAGGAAGUAAAAGUCGUAACAAGGUUUCCGUAGGUGAACCUGCGGAAGGAUCAUUAACAAAUUCUGAAUUGCUUGCAUGGGGUUGACGUGUGAAUGGUGCAGUUUAUUUGGAGAGGAAUUCAUUCCCGAUUCAUUUGAUGCUGCUCAUUGCACGUGCACUCUUGCAACAAUACACACGUUCCAUGUGCAUUCACUUGUGCAUGACAACAUUUCUACGAAUCAUCUGAUUGUCACAUAAUCUAAUCACAUUAAAGACUUUUAACAAUGGAUCUCUAGGCUCUUGCAUCGAUGAAGAACGCAGC
RNAcentral lists this unclassified non-coding RNA (319 nucleotides) under uncultured fungus. Its description in RNAcentral is "partial contains small subunit ribosomal RNA, internal transcribed spacer 1, and 5.8S ribosomal RNA". The stretch from base 1 to 73 matches the Rfam family "Eukaryotic small subunit ribosomal RNA", at positions 1759 to 1831 of the family's 1831-position model. The record is from RNAcentral. Lineage: Eukaryota; Fungi.